CAGAUGACUUUCACACGACCUGCCAAUCACAGACAACUCACUUUUGAAGAAAUUGCCAAAAGUGCUAAAAUCACAGUGAAUGAGGUACGGUCCCUAGGCUCAGGGUGUUAGAGCAGCAAAGCUGCCACAUAGAGGAGUCAAGGCUCUUGUGUGAGCACUGUGCUCCCUAGACAAUAAAAAAUGAUGGGAGGAGUGGCAUCUGCUUCUCAGAAGCCAUCUGGGUCCAUGGGGGUGUGUCAGGCUAUCUUGUCUUACACACGCCCCCAUCUCUGCACAGGUGGAGCUCCUGGUGAUGAAGGCCCUUUCGGUGGGGCUGGUGAAAGGCAGUAUAGAUGAGGUGGACAAACGAGUCCACAUGACCUGGGUGCAGCCCCGAGUGUUGGAUUUGCAACAGAUCAAGGGAAUGAAGGACCGCCUGGAGUUCUGGUGCACGGAUGUGAAGAGCAUGGAGAUGCUGGUGGAGCACCAGGCCCAUGACAUCCUCACCUAGGGCCCCCUGGUUCCCCG
This 507-nucleotide small RNA is filed under the name Pongo abelii (Sumatran orangutan). RNAcentral describes it as "retained intron". The record is from RNAcentral. Lineage: Eukaryota; Metazoa; Chordata; Mammalia; Primates; Hominidae.